RNAcentral lists this ribosomal RNA (253 nucleotides) under uncultured bacterium. RNAcentral describes it as "partial 16S ribosomal RNA". It matches the Rfam family "Bacterial small subunit ribosomal RNA", at positions 524 to 776 of the family's 1533-position model. The record is from RNAcentral.
GACGUAGGGUCCGAGCGUUGUCCGGAGUUACUGGGCGUAAAGGGCGCGUAGGCGGUUUCUUACGUUCCACGUGAAAGCCCCGGGCUCAACCUGGGAAUGGCAGUGGAUACUGGCAAGCUAGAGUGCGGUAGAGGGUAGUGGAAUUCCCGGUGUAGCGGUGAAAUGCGUAGAGAUCGGGAGGAACACCAGUGGCGAAGGCGGCUACCUGGACCAGCACUGACACUCAGGCACGAAAGCGUGGGGAGCAAACAGG